GGAGGAAUCUUCCACAAUGGGCGAAAGCCUGAUGGAGCGACACCGCGUGAAGGAUGAAGCCUUUGUUGGUGUAAACUUCUUCUCUCUCGGAAAAUAAUGAUGGUACGAGAGGAAUAAGGGGCGGCAAACUUCGUGCCAGCAGCCGCGGUAAUACGAAGGCCCCAAGCGUUAUCCGGAAUUACUGGGCGUAAAGCGUCUGUAGGUGGUCUGGCAAGUCUCGCGUGAAACUUCGGAGCUCAACUCCGAAUUG
Molecule: ribosomal RNA, 250 nt
Filed under: uncultured bacterium
Lineage: Bacteria
Description: partial 16S ribosomal RNA
Rfam family: Bacterial small subunit ribosomal RNA
Source: RNAcentral